UACGUAGGUGACGAGCGUUGUCCGGAUUUACUGGGCGUAAAGAGCGCGCAGGCGGUCGUUCAAGUCGAGUGUGAAAGCCCCCGGCUCAACUGGGGAGGGUCACUCGAUACUGAUCGACUCGAAGGCAGGAGAGGGAAGUGGAAUUCCUGGUGUAGCGGUGAAAUGCGCAGAUAUCAGGAGGAACACCGAUGGCGAAGGCAGGUCUCUGGGCCACUACUGACGCUGAGAAGCGAAAGCUAGGGGAGCAAACAGG
Molecule: ribosomal RNA, 253 nt
Filed under: uncultured bacterium
Lineage: Bacteria
Description: partial 16S ribosomal RNA
Rfam family: Bacterial small subunit ribosomal RNA
Source: RNAcentral